UCAUCUUCAUGUUAAUGGUGACCUGGGAUGA
RNAcentral lists this non-coding RNA (31 nucleotides) under Rattus norvegicus (Norway rat). The record is from RNAcentral. Lineage: Eukaryota; Metazoa; Chordata; Mammalia; Rodentia; Muridae.